UACGAAGGGUGCAAACGUUGCUCGGAAUUAUUGGGCGUAAAGCGCACGUAGGCGGCUUAGCAAGUCGGAUGUGAAAUCCCUCGGCUCAACCAAGGAAGUGCAUCCGAAACUGCUGAGCUUGAGUACUAAAGAGGAUCGCGGAAUUCCAGGUGUAGCGGUGAAAUGCGUAGAUAUCUGGAGGAAUACCGGUGGCGAAGGCGGCAUCCUGGACCGAGAUUGACACUGAGGAGCGAAAGCCAGGGGAGCAAACGGG
Molecule: ribosomal RNA, 253 nt
Filed under: uncultured bacterium
Lineage: Bacteria
Description: partial 16S ribosomal RNA
Rfam family: Bacterial small subunit ribosomal RNA
Source: RNAcentral